UACGGAGGGUGCAAGCGUUAUCCGGAUUCACUGGGUUUAAAGGGUGCGUAGGUGGGCAGGUAAGUCAGUGGUGAAAUCUCUGGGCUUAACCCAGAAACUGCCGUUGAUACUAUCUGUCUUGAAUAUAGUGGAGGUGAGCGGAAUAUGUCAUGUAGCGGUGAAAUGCUUAGAUAUGACAUAGAACACCCAUUGCGAAGGCAGCUCGCUACACUAUUAUUGACACUGAGGCACGAAAGCGUGGGGAGCGAACAGG
RNAcentral lists this ribosomal RNA (253 nucleotides) under uncultured bacterium. RNAcentral's name for it is "partial 16S ribosomal RNA". It matches the Rfam family "Bacterial small subunit ribosomal RNA", at positions 524 to 776 of the family's 1533-position model. The record is from RNAcentral.